Molecule: ribosomal RNA, 734 nt
Filed under: uncultured Streptococcaceae bacterium
Lineage: Bacteria; Bacillati; Bacillota; Bacilli; Lactobacillales; Streptococcaceae
Description: bacterial SSU rRNA
Rfam family: Bacterial small subunit ribosomal RNA
Source: RNAcentral
AGUAGAACGCUGAAGAGAGGAGCUUGCUCUUCUUGGAUGAGUUGCGAACGGGUGAGUAACGCGUAGGUAACCUGCCUUGUAGCGGGGGAUAACUAUUGGAAACGAUAGCUAAUACCGCAUAACAAUGGGUGACACAUGUCAUUUAUUUGAAAGGGGCAAUUGCUCCACUACAAGAUGGACCUGCGUUGUAUUAGCUAGUAGGUGAGGUAACGGCUCACCUAGGCGACGAUACAUAGCCGACCUGAGAGGGUGAUCGGCCACACUGGGACUGAGACACGGCCCAGACUCCUACGGGAGGCAGCAGUAGGGAAUCUUCGGCAAUGGGGGCAACCCUGACCGAGCAACGCCGCGUGAGUGAAGAAGGUUUUCGGAUCGUAAAGCUCUGUUGUAAGUCAAGAACGAGUGUGAGAGUGGAAAGUUCACACUGUGACGGUAGCUUACCAGAAAGGGACGGCUAACUACGUGCCAGCAGCCGCGGUAAUACGUAGGUCCCGAGCGUUGUCCGGAUUUAUUGGGCGUAAAGCGAGCGCAGGCGGUUUGAUAAGUCUGAAGUUAAAGGCUGUGGCUCAACCAUAGUUCGCUUUGGAAACUGUCAAACUUGAGUGCAGAAGGGGAGAGUGGAAUUCCAUGUGUAGCGGUGAAAUGCGUAGAUAUAUGGAGGAACACCGGUGGCGAAAGCGGCUCUCUGGUCUGUAACUGACGCUGAGGCUCGAAAGCGUGGGGAGCGAACAGGA